CCUACGGGCGGCAGCAGUGGGGAAUAUUGGACAAUGGGGGCAACCCUGAUCCAGCCAUGCCGCGUGUGUGAAGAAGGCCCUCGGGUUGUAAAGCACUUUCAGUGAGGAAGAACGCCUGGUGGUUAAUACCCAUCAGGAAAGACAUCACUCACAGAAGAAGCACCGGCUAACUCCGUGCCAGCAGCCGCGGUAAUACGGAGGGUGCGAGCGUUAAUCGGAAUUACUGGGCGUAAAGCGCGCGUAGGUGGCUUGAUAAGCCGGUUGUGAAAGCCCCGGGCUCAACCUGGGAACGGCAUCCGGAACUGUCAAGCUAGAGUGCAGGAGAGGAAGGUAGAAUUCCCGGUGUAGCGGUGAAAUGCGUAGAGAUCGGGAGGAAUACCAGUGGCGAAGGCGGCCUUCUGGACUGAAACUGACACUGAGGUGCGAAAGCGUGGGUAGCGAACAGGAUUAGAUACCCCGGUAGUC
Molecule: ribosomal RNA, 465 nt
Filed under: Vreelandella stevensii
Lineage: Bacteria; Pseudomonadati; Pseudomonadota; Gammaproteobacteria; Oceanospirillales; Halomonadaceae
Description: partial 16S ribosomal RNA
Rfam family: Bacterial small subunit ribosomal RNA
Source: RNAcentral